UGGGGAAUUUUGGACAAUGGGGGCAACCCUGAUCCAGCCAUUCCGCGUGAGUGAAGAAGGCCUUCGGGUUUAAAGCUCUUUCGCAAGGAAAGAAAACUUAGCCGAUAACACCGGCUGAGGCUGACGGUACCUUGAUAAGAAGCACCGGCUAACUACGUGCCAGCAGCCGCGGUAAUACGUAGGGUGCGAGCGUUAAUCGGAAUUACUGGGCGUAAAGCGUGCGCAGGCGGUUUUGUAAGUCAGAUGUGAAAUCCCCGGGCUCAACCUGGGAACUGCGUUUGAAACUGCAAGGCUAGAGUAUGGGAGAGGGAGGUAGAAUUCCACGUGUAGCAGUGAAAUGCGUAGAGAUGUGGAGGAAUACCAAUGGCGAAGGCAGCCUCCUGGCCUAAUACUGACGCUCAUGCACGAAAGCGUGGGGAGCAAACAG
Molecule: ribosomal RNA, 427 nt
Filed under: uncultured bacterium
Lineage: Bacteria
Description: bacterial SSU rRNA
Rfam family: Bacterial small subunit ribosomal RNA
Source: RNAcentral